RNAcentral lists this ribosomal RNA (328 nucleotides) under uncultured bacterium. Its description in RNAcentral is "bacterial SSU rRNA". It matches the Rfam family "Bacterial small subunit ribosomal RNA", at positions 8 to 334 of the family's 1533-position model. The record is from RNAcentral.
AGGGUUUGAUCCUGGCUCAGGACGAACGCCGGCGGCGCGCCUAACACAUGCAAGUCGAACGAGAAAGAGGGAGCUUGCUCUCUUGAUCGAGUGGCGCACGGGUGAGUAACGCGUAUGCAACCUGCCCGAUACCGGGGUAUAGCCCAUGGAAACGUGGAUUAACACCCCAUAGUACUUUUAUCCUGCCUGGGAUGUGAGUUAAAUGUUCAAGGUAUCGGAUGGGCAUGCGUCCUAUUAGUUAGUUGGCGGGGUAACAGCCCACCAAGACGAUGAUAGGUAGGGGUUCUGAGAGGAAGGUCCCCCACAUUGGAACUGAGACACGGUCCAA